This 253-nucleotide ribosomal RNA is filed under the name uncultured bacterium. RNAcentral describes it as "partial 16S ribosomal RNA". It matches the Rfam family "Bacterial small subunit ribosomal RNA", at positions 524 to 776 of the family's 1533-position model. The record is from RNAcentral.
GACGGAGGAUGCAAGCGUUAUCCGGAAUGAUUGGGCGUAAAGCGUCCGCAGGUGGCAGUUCAAGUCUGCUGUCAAAGACCGGGGCUUAACUUCGGAAAGGCAGUGGAAACUGAACAGCUAGAGUAUGGUAGGGGCAGAGGGAAUUCCUGGUGUAGCGGUGAAAUGCGCAGAUAUCAGGAGGAACACCGGUGGCGAAGGCGGUGGUCUGGGCCGGCACUGACGCUGAGGAGCGAAAGCGUGGGGAGCGAACAGG